This 628-nucleotide ribosomal RNA is filed under the name uncultured Bacteroidales bacterium. RNAcentral's name for it is "bacterial SSU rRNA". It matches the Rfam family "Bacterial small subunit ribosomal RNA", at positions 87 to 714 of the family's 1533-position model. Lineage: Bacteria; Pseudomonadati; Bacteroidota; Bacteroidia; Bacteroidales. The record is from RNAcentral.
GAUGGCGACCGGCGCACGGGUGAGUAACACGUAUCCAACCUACCGUUUACUCUCGGAUAGCCUUCCGAAAGGAAGAUUAAUACGGGAUGGCAUUGAGRUUUCACAUGRKAACUCAAUUAAAGAAUUUCGGUAAACGAUGGGGAUGCGUUCCAUUAGAUAGUAGGCGGGGUAACGGCCCACCUAGUCGACGAUGGAUAGGGGUUCUGAGAGGAAGGUCCCCCACAUUGGAACUGAGACACGGUCCAAACUCCUACGGGAGGCAGCAGUGAGGAAUAUUGGUCAAUGGGCGAGAGCCUGAACCAGCCAAGUAGCGUGAAGGAUGAAGGUCCUAUGGAUUGUAAACUUCUUUUAUACAGGAAUAAAGUUUGCCACGUGUGGCAUUUUGUAUGUACUGUAUGAAUAAGCAUCGGCUAACUCCGUGCCAGCAGCCGCGGUAAUACGGAGGAUGCGAGCGUUAUCCGGAUUUAUUGGGUUUAAAGGGAGCGCAGACGGUUUGUUAAGUCAGUUGUGAAAGUUUGGGGCUCAACCUUAAAAUUGCAAUUGAUACUGGCAGACUUGAGUGCAGAUGAGGUAGGCGGAAUUCGUGGUGUAGCGGUGAAAUGCUUAGAUAUCACGAAGAACUCCGAUU